This 178-nucleotide unclassified non-coding RNA is filed under the name uncultured Serendipita. RNAcentral describes it as "sequence contains ITS1". Lineage: Eukaryota; Fungi; Basidiomycota; Agaricomycetes; Sebacinales. The record is from RNAcentral.
AUGAAACUUCAAAGUCGGCCAACAGUUGUUGCUGGUGAUGUACUUCACAUGUGCACGCUGAAGGUCGCAAUCCACACACACCUGUGCAUCUAUGACUCGAGGUUGUAAUGACUGAGAGUAACUUUUACACACUCUUGUAUGUAAUGGAAUGUCUUUUGUGCAUAAUGUACAAUAUAAA